Long non-coding RNA from Anopheles stephensi (Asian malaria mosquito), 1526 nucleotides. RefSeq lists it as uncharacterized. The transcript is spliced from 3 exons. Lineage: Eukaryota; Metazoa; Arthropoda; Insecta; Diptera; Culicidae. The record is from RefSeq and is a predicted model, not a curated record.
UGUAGAAAUCGUGCGAAAAUGGGUGAAACUCGUGGGGGGGCAAUCUCGCUCGGGCGAACUAGCUGUUUUGCUCGUUGCAGCGCAUGCGCUGUGCUGUCUUUGAAUGUGUGCGUGCGUCAAAAGCGAGCAAAACGCCGCUAUGUCAAAAAAUGUGUAAACAAACUCUGUUGGAGUUCAGAAAAGUAAACAUGCGCAAUCCGCUUGGUUAUGUGCAAAAAUUCGUGAAAUAAUCUAAAUAUUCUUUAUUUUGAACAGAUCUUACUUAUUACCGAUAUGUGCAGUGCCGUGUAAUAACAAAAAUUGCUUCAAAAAAGCUGUGUGUGUGGCUGAUACUCCAGCAUCUUCCCAUGUGUGUAAACAACGCCAAGAGUAUUACUGUUUUGUGAUCAUCAUAUUUCAUUCGGAUUGCACAUUACCGGGCAGAAAAAGCUUCAAGCAACCAAUUUUGUACAGCAUCCGCACGCUGUAUGAAGGUGUAAAACAAAUUUUCAUCUGUAAGAUGCUCUUCAAACCUGUCCAGUGACUCUUCGUUGCUUAUAUAUUGCAUCGGGAUGGUUUGAGCAUUACGUCGCACGCCUUUCAUCGGGUGUAUUGUGGCCACUAUCGCAGCCGUUUGGGCAGUUCGGGCAUCCAGUUUUAAUAAUGAACAUUGUGAACAAAACUCGUGCCCAGGACAAGUUGUUUUUGCUUGAAUUAACUCUGUGUUCUUAUUUACAUGAAUAGAUACGGUGGACGGAUGAAUGCUGCUUGCUUCGUGAAAUGUUGAUCCCGGUGAUGAAACACACGGUUCCGGUGUCAUGCUUGGUGACGGCUGACGGGAUCCUUGAUGCACGACAGUCGUUUUUGCCGGUCGCGCAACGUCAUGCGCGCAUGAACCAGCAGCUUAAGCAACAGACGAUUUCGGCGUCGCACUUGUAGUCGGCUGCGAUCCUUGCAUUUGUUCGUCAAACGAUCCUAACGAUCACGGAAUGCCAUCCACGGAUCCAGCAGCGGGAAUGACCGAUGGUACCGGUGUCGCACUUGUGGUCAGCUGCGAUCCAUGCGAACGCUUUAACGACAUUGUCGCUAGUGGAACAACACGCACGGAACAAGCAGGCACAAGAAUCAUCCCACGUAUCGCUUUCGUUGAGGGCUGCGUUCCUCGCUUUUGUUCCAUCGAUCUUGCCGGACGCGUAGCGAUAUCCACGGAACCAGCAGUGAGAGCAGUAGAAGAUUCCGACGUCGCAGAUGAUCCUGCCGGUCGCGUAGCGAUAUCCAUGGAACCAGCACCGGGGGCAAGAGACGGUUCCGGCGUCGGUCUUGAUGACGUUCGCGGUCCAAAAACACGGACGAUCGCGCCUGUGGAGCAUAAUACAGCCCAAGGCAGUUGUUGCAGUGCAAAAAGGCGCCCUUUCUUUGGUGGUUCCAACAUUAUAUUUCGGCUGAAAUAAUCAAUCGUUUUAUUAUUUUUUAUGUGCUGCUUUGCGGUUUGAAAUCUCGAUGUUUAUGUUUUCAGCUGUGAAUUUCAAUAAAGGGUAACAAUCACA